RNAcentral lists this ribosomal RNA (775 nucleotides) under uncultured Neocallimastigales. RNAcentral describes it as "partial large subunit ribosomal RNA". It matches the Rfam family "Eukaryotic large subunit ribosomal RNA", at positions 24 to 645 of the family's 3401-position model. The record is from RNAcentral. Lineage: Eukaryota; Fungi; Neocallimastigomycota; Neocallimastigomycetes; Neocallimastigales.
UAUCUCUGUAGAGUCUGCAUAUCAAUAAGCGGAGGAAAAGAAACUAACUAGGAUUCCCUUAGUAACGGCGAGUGAAGCGGGAAGAGCUCAAAUUUGAAAUCUUCAAGGUUUUACCUUGACGAAUUGUAGUUUAAAGAAGUGUUUCCUGUUGGAUGUUUUGGUAAAAGUUCUUUGGAAUAGGACAUCAUAGAGGGUGAGAAUCCCGUAUUUGACCAUUACUUCCAGCUUUGUGAUACACUUUCAAAGAGUCGGAUUGUUUGGGAAUGCAGUCCAAAAUGGGUGGUAAAUUUCAUCUAAAGCUAAAUACUUGGCGAGAGACCGAUAGCGAACAAGUACCGUGAGGGAAAGAUGAAAAGAACUUUGAAAAGAGAGUUAAACAGUACGUGAAAUUGUCAAAAGGGAAGCGUUUGACACCAGUGUUGUUUUCUCGAAAAUCAAUUAAAAAAGGCAGGAUUUUGUGUUGUAUUGACUUUAUCAGCUUUCUGCACUCUUUUCUUGUCUUUUUUAAUGCACUUUUCGUUUAACAAGUCAACAUCAAUUUCUUUUGUUGUGAAAGGGUCAUUGGAAGGUGGCUUUCCUUUCGGAGGAAGUGUUUAUAGCCUUUGGCCUCUGCAAUCGGAGAGAUUGAGGUCUGCAGCGUAGAUCCUUCGGGGUUAGAUACAUUUGUGCUAAGUUAUAGCCUUUCAUAGACAACUUGUUGACUAUGAUCAGUCAUGUAGCUUACUUGCUUAUGCUAUUUUACCUACGCUUAGGAUUUGAAGUCAUCGUAUCGCGC